RNAcentral lists this ribosomal RNA (166 nucleotides) under uncultured bacterium. RNAcentral describes it as "partial 16S ribosomal RNA". It matches the Rfam family "Bacterial small subunit ribosomal RNA", at positions 1335 to 1500 of the family's 1533-position model. The record is from RNAcentral.
CUAGUAAUCGCAGAUCAGCAUGCUGCGGUGAAUACGUUCCCGGGCCUUGUACACACCGCCCGUCACACCAUGGGAGUCGGUAACACCCAAAGUUGGUAGCCUAACCGCAAGGAGGGCGCCGCCUAAGGUGGGAUUGAUGACUGGGGUGAAGUCGUAACAAGGUAGC